CUGUAACAAAUGGCCACCUUUUCCCACUUCCAAGACAAGUGCAAAUCAAGCAAUAUUACAGCAGUGGAACAAAAUUUUUUCUAAAUCUAAAGUACUUCAUAUUCAUGGCAGAACUCUCUGGAAAUGAAAGAAUGACCCAUUGUCACCAAGAAUUCCUAGCUGGUGAGACACAGCACAAUGGACUGCCAAAAGAUUUUAUUUUAUUUUCUUCCCUCCUUCGGUCAGCCUAAACAGGAGAAGGAAAACGGUCAACGCUUAGAAAUGCAAAGAAUGAGGAUGGGUUAUAUCCCGUUGCCGUCACAGACAACUCUGAUCUCGCUACCAUCUCACUACCGUCUCACAACGUCUUUCAUUUCCCCCACGGUCCGCCUCCUGAUGUAGCCAUUUUGCCAUGUUAGAAAUUCGCAGGAUUCGGCCCUCAUGUUAAAUCACACCACUGGGCUGCAGAACCUCAAGGCCUCAAGGUGCAGCGCUGCCGUGCAUGCUGGGUAACGGCAUCCCUGCCUCGCCAUUCACAGAGGACAUGGCACAGCAUCCUGGGGGUACCAGAGCAAAUACCAGGGGCAAAUCAACAAGAGAAUAUCUACCUGUGUGGCUGAUAUCUGAACAUGGGUGACCAGGCAUCACCUUAAGCUCAGCCUCAACAAGACCGAGCUGCUGCUCAUCCCGUACAAGACCCCCCCUGCUACGGGAGCCCUCAAUCGCUGUCGAUGGCACCACAGUGACUGCCUCUCGCUCUGCAGAAAGCCUGGGGGGGGUGGUCCUGGAUGACAAAACCGGACCUCAAGGAGCACAUCACCUACACUGCAGCCAACAGGACAGCCCCCCCCCCCCACGUACGGGACAUCGGGACAUGAUUCAAUCCCGCACGCCGGCUCGACCACUCCGCUCUGCUGCAGCAGGGCGGCUCACUCUCUCCCUGCCUUCCGGGUGAAUGGUUCUCGCACGUCCUCCACUACGGAGCUUCUCCCCCCUAGCUCCCCAGCGGUGGAACAGACUCCCUGUCCCUCUGAGAACCACUCCGUCGUUGCUCAUCUUUCACUGUGGUCCAAAGACGCAUCUCAUCAGACUAUACCUGGACUAACUAUCACUGCUGUGCAGGGCACUCCCAAUCUAGAAUCACAUUUAUCACUUGUAUCCUUCUAUAUUGUUCUUGUAGGACUUUUGUGUUACACUUGUACCUUCAUCCAGCACUUAUGUUGCACUUGUAUGGUUAUCUCGAUGUUAUAGCUUGUUGACGUGCCUCCUAGUUUGACUUACCAAAACUUUCUGACAUAGACGACACUUACUGCUUGAACUGGACUUAAUGUGUUCAUGGCUAUGAAUAACUUACCAAAUGAGCAUUGUAACUUAUCGGACGUGUGUUUUGUAAUUGUUCCAAUUGUCUUCAGUAUUCAGUUAUGGUAUGUUGCUUUUGAUAAGUGUCUGACAAAUGGAGGUAAUGUAAAGGAAUGUACUUUACAAUUUUCCCAUGAAUGAUAUUUUUCAUCAUGAAUUUCAUGAAAUUAAUUUCUGCGCAAUUAUUUCACCAUGGUAGAUAGAUAAAUAAUAUUUCCUAUCCACCUAUAUCAUUAAAUUGUAUUUUGAAAUACUUUGCAUUUUUUCCUGUCUUUGGACAUAAGACUAUAGGCUUAUAUAUUUUCCAGUUUUCCCAUGAAUCAUAUUUUUCAUCAUAAAUUUCAUAAAAUUAAUUUCUACUCAUUUAUUUCACCAUGGUAGAUACAUAAAUGUUAUUUCCUAUCCACCUAAAACAUUAAAGUGUAUUUUGAAAUAUUUUGCAUUUUUUCCUGUCUUUGGACAUAAGACUAUAGGCUUAUAUAUUUUCCAGUUUUUCCAUGAAUCAUAUUUUUCAUCAUAAAUUUCAUAAAAUUAAUUUCUACUCAUUUAUUUCACCAUAGAAAAUACAUAAAUAAUAUUUCCUAUCCACCUAUAUCAUUAAAUUGUAUUUUGAAAUAUUUUGCAUUUUUUCCUGUCUUUGGACAUAAGACUAUAGGCUUAUAUAUUUUCCAGUUUUCCCAUGAAUCAUAUUUUUCAUCAUAAAUUUCUAAAAAAUCAUUUCUACUCAUAUAUUUCACCAUAGAAAAUACAUAAAUAAUAUUUCCUAUCCACCUAUAUCAUUAAAUUGUAUUUUGAAAUAUUUUGCAUUUUUUCCUGUCUUUUUACAUAAGGCUAUAGGCUUAUAUAUUUUCCAGUUUUCCCAUGAAUCAUAUUUUUCAUCAUAAAUUUCUAAAAAAUCAUUUCUACUCAUAUAUUUCACCAUAGAAAAUACAUAAAUAAUAUUUCCUAUCCACCUAUAUCAUUAAAUUGUAUUUUGAAAUAUUUUGCAUUUUUUCCUGUCUUUGGACAUAAGACUAUAGGCUUAUAUAUUUUCCAGUUUUUCCAUGAAUCAUAUUUUUCAUCAUAAAUUUCUAAAAAAUCAUUUCUACUCAUUUAUUUCACCAUGGUAGAUACAUAAAUGUUAUUUCCUAUCCACCUAAAACAUUAAAGUGUAUUUUGAAAUAUUUUGCAUUUUUUCCUGUCUUUGGACAUAAGACUAUAGGCUUAUAUAUUUUCCAGUUUUUCCAUGAAUCAUAUUUUUCAUCAUAAAUUUCUAAAAAAUCAUUUCUACUCAUUUAUUUC
Anguilla rostrata (American eel) is the source of this 2619-nucleotide long non-coding RNA. RefSeq lists it as uncharacterized. The transcript has 3 exons. The record is from RefSeq and is a predicted model, not a curated record. NCBI's taxonomy places the organism in Eukaryota, Metazoa, Chordata, Actinopteri, Anguilliformes, Anguillidae.